GUUUUGCUGCCCACAUUGUUCACAGUUGUCAACAGUAUUGAACAAUUUUGUUACACGCGAUUCAGGUUCAAUAUUGUUGACAAGUGUGAACAACGUGGGCAGCAAAAU
Non-coding RNA from Paramuricea clavata, 108 nucleotides. The record is from the annotation of a GenBank genome assembly. NCBI's taxonomy places the organism in Eukaryota, Metazoa, Cnidaria, Anthozoa, Malacalcyonacea, Plexauridae.